Molecule: ribosomal RNA, 429 nt
Filed under: uncultured bacterium
Lineage: Bacteria
Description: bacterial SSU rRNA
Rfam family: Bacterial small subunit ribosomal RNA
Source: RNAcentral
UAGGGAAUCUUCGGCAAUGGGGGGAACCCUGACCGAGCAACGCCGCGUGAGUGAAGAAGGUUUUCGGAUCGUAAAGCUCUGUUGUAAGAGAAGAACGGUGAUGUGAGUGGAAAGCACAUCAUGUGACGGUAUCUUACCAGAAAGGGACGGCUAACUACGUGCCAGCAGCCGCGGUAAUACGUAGGUCCCGAGCGUUGUCCGGAUUUAUUGGGCGUAAAGCGAGCGCAGGCGGUUGUAUAAGUCAGAAGUAAAAGGCAGUGGCUCAACCAUUGUGUGCUUUUGAAACUGUACAACUUGAGUGCAGAAGGGGAGAGUGGAAUUCCAUGUGUAGCGGUGAAAUGCGUAGAUAUAUGGAGGAACACCGGUGGCGAAAGCGGCUCUCUGGUCUGUAACUGACGCUGAGGCUCGAAAGCGUGGGGAGCGAACAGG